GAGUUUGAUCCUGGCUCAGGAUGAACGCUGGCGGCAUGCCUAAUACAUGCAAGUCGAACGAGAAUCAUUGAGGUGCUUGCACCACUUUGAUUCUAGUGGCGAACGGGUGAGUAACACGUGAGAAAUCUGCCCUUUAGACUGGGAUAACUACUGGAAACGGUUUGUAAUACCGGAUGUCUUCUUUGUACCGCAUGGUACUUAGAGAAAAGCUUAGAUGCACUAAAGGAUGAUCUCGCGGCGUAUUAGCUAGUUGGUGAGAUAACGGCUCACCAAGGCAACGAUGGGUAACCGGUCUGAGAGGAUGAACGGUCACACUGGAACUGAGACACGGUCCAGACUCCUACGGGAGGCAGCAGUGGGGAAUAUUGCACAAUGGAGGAAACUCUGAUGCAGCGACGCCGCGUGAAUGAUGAAGGCUUUCGAGUCGUAAAAUUCUGUCCUUAGGGAAGAUAAUGACGGUACCUAAGGAGGAAGCCCCGGCUAACUACGUGCCAGCAGCCGCGGUAAUACGUAGGGGGCGAGCGUUGUCCGGAUUUAUUGGGCGUAAAGGGUUCGCAGGCGGUUUUUUAAGUCAGGUGUUAAAGACUACAGCUUAACUGUAGAAAGCAUUUGAAACUGGAGAACUUGAGUUAAGGAGAGGAAAGUGGAAUUCCUAGUGUAGCGGUGAAAUGCGUAGAUAUUAGGAGGAAUACCAGUGGCGAAGGCGACUUUCUGGACUUAUACUGACGCUGAGGAACGAAAGCAUGGGGAGCAAACAGGAUUAGAUACCCUGGUAGUCCAUGCCGUAAACGAUGAGUGCUAGGUGUCGGGGGUCAUACCUCGGUGCCGGAGCUAACGCA
Molecule: ribosomal RNA, 839 nt
Filed under: uncultured bacterium
Lineage: Bacteria
Description: bacterial SSU rRNA
Rfam family: Bacterial small subunit ribosomal RNA
Source: RNAcentral